AAAAAAAUGAUAUAUAAGUAUUACUUGUAAAUAUAUAAGUAUAUAAAGAAACUAUUAUGGAAUUUAAGCUAUGUAUUAAAGAGAAUUAUUUAUAUAUAUAGAGAUAUAAUAUCCUAUAAUUAUAUGAACUCUAAGAGAAAUCUAAUAUUAAACGAAGUGAAUUGAAAUAUCUUAGUAACUUCAGGAAAAGAAAUCAAAAGAGAUUCUAUGAAUAGCGUGAGCGAAAGUAGAGUAGCCUAUAAAGUAGAACGGUAUCAAAACUGUUUAAAUGUAAUGGGGAACCUUCCUCAAAGGCUAAAUAUAAUACAUAAGCGAUAGUGAAAAGUACCAUGAGGGAACAAAAACAAAAAUAGUAGUUUUAUAAGCAGUUCGAUAAAAAGAACGUACCUUUUGCAUAAUGGGUCACCAAGUUAACGUUAGAUGCGAGUAUACGCGUAGUUAAACCGAACGUUAAAAUAACGAAAUAGUGUCUAAAGUUAGACCCGAAGCACGGUGAUUUUACCAUGGUCAGGAUUAUAAAAGUCCGAACGGGUGAUUGUAGCAAAAAUCUCCGAAGAACUGUGGUAGGUGUAGUGAAAGACAACACUGACUGUGAUAGCUGGUUUUCUGCGAAACCUAUAAUAGUAGGCAAUUUAAGUAAAUAUCUUAGCAGGUACAGAAUUUAAUCUCAGACAAGGCGUGUAAGCGUUUUAUAUUGUAUAAAUUGGGGAAUCAUGAAGAUUUUAUCAGUGAGUAUGUAGACUCGGAAUGGCAAAGAUAUGUCUUAAAUUAUCAGACAUAGAAUGAUAAGGUUUGUAUGUCGAAAGGGAAACAGCCCAGAACAAGAGUUAAGGUUCCUAAAUUAUUAGUUAAGUGAAAUUAAGAAGGUUUUUAUUAAAGUCGACAAGGAGAUAGGCUUAGAAGCAGCCAUAAUUUUAUGACCUCGUAACAGAGCGCUUGUUAAGUUAUAAAAGCAUCGAAAAUUUAACGGAUCUAAACAAUAUACCGAAACCUUGUCCAUAAUAUAUUAUAUUAAUUAUUUUAAUGUAAUUUAAUGGGGUAGCAGAACGUUGAGCUAGAUUAUGAUUUCUAUUUUUUAAAUAGAAUUAUAUUAAUUUAACUCAAGUGAGAAUGGUGACAUGAGUAACGAAAAGAAAAUUUUCCGCCUUAAGCUUAUGGAUAUAAUUAAGUAACGGCCUCUAAGUUUAUAUUAUCUAAAGAUUUAAACGAUGAGUAAAUCUUUUUUACUAAGGACAACAUUUUAGUGUAAAAUGUGCUGGAAAAAUAGUAAAUAUAUUUGUUAUUUAUAACAAAUGAACAAUAACCGUACCUAGAAUCUGAAACAAGUAAGCUAGUAGAGAAUACGAAGGCGUAAAUGAGCUAACAAUCAUAAAGGAACUCGGCAAAUUGACUACCGUAACUUCGGAAUAAGGAGGGCUCAUUAUUCUUGAUUAAUAUCAAGUAAAGAGGAAGAAGCAUGAAAUAAUGUUGUACGACUGUUUAAUUAAAACACAGCACUUUGCUGAAAGAUUAAAAAUCUAUGUAUAAAGUGUGAUAUCUGCCCGGUGCCGGCUGGUUAACAGAGAUAAUUGAAUAUACUACUAUUUGAUGUCGACGGAAACCCCGGUUAAAGGCGGCCUUAACGUGAGGGUCCUAAGGUAGCGAAAUGCCUUGGCCGUUAAAUGCGGUCUUGCAUGAAUGGUGUAACGAUACAACAGCUGUCUCUAUGAUUGACUCAGUGAAAUUGGAAUAGCUGUGCAGAUACAGCUUACCUCUAGUUAGACGAGAAGACCCUAUGCAGCUUUACUGUCACUAAUUAUAGAGUAUGAUAGACAAUUUUCAGAAUAUAAGGUAAUUGACAAUAUGACAAUGAGAAUCCUUUAUUUUUCUUUCAUAUGAAUGAAUUGGUUUAGGAUUAUGAGUAGAUUGUAAUUAAUGUGGCUUAUUACUGAGUCAUUUAAAAACAUUAAUUAUAGUCUUUAAAUUAUUAUAUAGCUCAUUUUAGUAAAUCAGCCUAAUUCAACUUAUUAUUUUAGAAUAGUAAGUACCCUUUGGCAAGGAACUAUCGCUAGGGGACAGUUUAUGUGGGGCACAGACCCUGUAAAGAGUAAACAGGAGUGUCUAAUAAUUAUAAAUUAUUUUGUUUGCUAUUUUGAGUAGUUUAACUAUUUUUAAUCAUAUAUAAUUAUUUAUAUUUGCAUUUAUUGUAAAUAUAUUUAAGUUUAGGUAGGAUUUUUACUAUACAGAAAUUAGAGAUAAUUGAAAAUAUUAUGAAUUCUUUCUAAUGUUUUUUAGCUAUCAUUUUUGAUAGUUAUGUAUUUAAUAUCUAAAAAGCUCAACGGCUAAAUCUUGCCUUACUGUUUGAUUAUCUACAAAUCUUACAGUUGCGUAAGCAGGGCAUAGGAUCACAAGAUGCAAUAAGGAAAGAUCUUGGAUUAUUGGAAAAGCUACGCUAGGGAUAACAGGCUAAUUUGCGCAAGAGUGUACAAAAUGAGUGCGCGGUUUGGCACCUCGAUGUCGGCUUAACUUAUCCUCAUGGACGCAGGAACUAUGUAGGGUGCGACUGUUCGUCGAUUAAAAAGUUACAUGAGCUGGGUUAAAUACGUCGUGAGACAGUAUGGUUUCUAUCUUCUAGGGGGAAUUAGAAUAAAAUAAGAACGAACUUUUGUACGCAAGGAACAAGAAGAGUUUAGCCCGUAAAAAAGGUUAAAAUAUAGUUACUAACCUAUGGUUUACCUGUUGUUUAUGUGCCCAAAUAUUAAAUAUAUAUGCUAUUGUAUAUAUAUAUAUGUAUUAUUAUACAUAGGGAUGUUUCUCUCACUAAGAUAAAUGUAUAGCAUAAGCACGGCAGGAACGCUAAGUUGGUUAAGGAUAAGUGCUGAAAGCAUAUAGGCACGAAGCUUAUCUUAAGAUAUUUCUUAAAUAUACGUAAUAUACUAUUACGAAAUUUAUAGGCUUUAUCCGUACGAAUCUAGAGAUUUUAAAGAAUAAAGUACUAAUUUAAUAAUUCACUAUUUAUAAAUAUAUCA
Molecule: ribosomal RNA, 3008 nt
Filed under: Tolypocladium cylindrosporum
Lineage: Eukaryota; Fungi; Ascomycota; Sordariomycetes; Hypocreales; Ophiocordycipitaceae
Description: large subunit ribosomal RNA
Rfam family: Bacterial large subunit ribosomal RNA
Source: RNAcentral